Molecule: ribosomal RNA, 777 nt
Filed under: uncultured bacterium
Lineage: Bacteria
Description: bacterial SSU rRNA
Rfam family: Bacterial small subunit ribosomal RNA
Source: RNAcentral
AGUCGAGCGAGUCUGCCUUGAAGAUCGGAGUGCUUGCACUCUGUGAAACAAGAUACAGGCUAGCGGCGGACGGGUGAGUAACACGUGGGUAACCUGCCCAAGAGAUCGGGAUAACACCUGGAAACAGAUGCUAAUACCGGAUAACAACAGAUGAUGCCUAUCAACUGUUUAAAAGAUGGUUCUGCUAUCACUCUUGGAUGGACCUGCGGUGCAUUAGCUAGUUGGUAGGGUAACGGCCUACCAAGGCGAUGAUGCAUAGCCGAGUUGAGAGACUGAUCGGCCACAUUGGGACUGAGACACGGCCCAAACUCCUACGGGAGGCAGCAGUAGGGAAUCUUCCACAAUGGACGCAAGUCUGAUGGAGCAACGCCGCGUGAGUGAAGAAGGGUUUCGGCUCGUAAAGCUCUGUUGUUGGUGAAGAAGGACAGGGGUAGUAACUGACCUUUGUUUGACGGUAACCAAUUAGAAAGUCACGGCUAACUACGUGCCAGCAGCCGCGGUAAUACGUAGGUGGCAAGCGUUGUCCGGAUUUAUUUGGCGUAAAGCGAGUGCAGGCGGCUCGAUAAGUCUGAUGUGAAAGCCUUCGGCUCAACCGGAGAAUUGCAUCAGAAACUGUCGAGCUUGAGUACAGAAGAGGAGAGUGGAACUCCAUGUGUAGCGGUGAAAUGCGUAGAUAUAUGGAAGAACACCGGUGGCGAAGGCGGCUCUCUGGUCUGUUACUGACGCUGAGGCUCGAAAGCAUGGGUAGCGAACAGGAUUAGAUACCCUGGUAGUCCA